Molecule: ribosomal RNA, 497 nt
Filed under: uncultured bacterium
Lineage: Bacteria
Description: partial 16S ribosomal RNA
Rfam family: Bacterial small subunit ribosomal RNA
Source: RNAcentral
GAUGAACGCUGGCGGCGUGCCUAAUACAUGCAAGUCGAGCGAACGGACGAGAAGCUUGCUUCUCUGAUGUUAGCGGCGGACGGGUGAGUAACACGUGGAUAACCUACCUAUAAGACUGGGAUAACUUCGGGAAACCGUAGCUAAUACCGGAUAAUAUUUUGAACCGCAUGGUUCAAAAGUGAAAGACGGUCUUGCUGUCACUUAUAGAUGGAUCCGCGCUGCAUUAGCUAGUUGGUAAGGUAACGGCUUACCAAGGCAACGAUGCAUAGCCGACCUGAGAGGGUGAUCGGCCACACUGGAACUGAGACACGGUCCAAACUCCUACGGGAGGCAGCAGUAGGGAAUCUUCCGCAAUGGGCGGAAGCCUGACGGAGCAACGCCGCGUGAGUGAUGAAGGUCUUCGGAUCGUAAAACUCUGUUAUUAGGGAAGAACAUAUGUGUAAGUAGCUGUGCACAUCUUGACGGUACCUAAUCAGAAAGCCACGGCUGACUACGUG